This 1192-nucleotide long non-coding RNA is filed under the name Eucalyptus grandis. RNAcentral's name for it is "long non-coding RNA (EGRA_LNC000998)". The record is from RNAcentral. Lineage: Eukaryota; Viridiplantae; Streptophyta; Magnoliopsida; Myrtales; Myrtaceae.
GUGAUGUCCCAAAUGUUCCUCGUCACGAGUAGAAUGUCCCAACAACACUCAAUCCAAUGAACACCAUCAUUCCAGGGACCAUCAAUUUCCCUUCACCAGAUGUGUCCACCGGGACGCUGUCGGCUACCGGGCUUGAUGCCAAGGCAGGCUUCUUCUUUGGCUUUGCUGGGGCAGGCGCCGGCGCAGGUGGCUUCGGGCCGAAUAUGCUCAUUGGAAGCAGAACCUUGUCGACCAUAUACACAGCCAACUGGCCAUCGUUAUAUACUGUUUGGUCCACUGUUGCAUUGGUGACACCAGUCGAUAUGUUCACACUGCUACCGGAUGUAGUCAAAGUCAGUGGGAACUCGAACUUCCCGCUCCCGCCUGCUUGUGUCCUCAGCGGAUUGCUGACUGUUUGGAAUUGGGGCACAGCCAAGUAUGUCGGGACUACAUGGAACUGCACGAGCUCAACCUGCUGCUCAGACGAGAGCUGGUUCAAAGUCCCAGACUUGAGGCUCGAGAAGGCAUUGUCAUUCGGGGCGAAGAUGGUUAGGCCAUUGUUCGAGUUGUUAAGUUGCGCGUUGAUCUGUUUGUCGACUGAGGUGGCCCUCAUGAGCUUGAGCAGCACCGUAAAUUGGCUCGCCUUCUUGAGGACCUUCGUGAUGUCGGUUGGGCCUGCAGGAGCUGGGCCUAAGACAGGAGGAGCCGGGCCUAAGGCAGGCGUAGCAGGUGCAGCCGGGGCUAUCACAGGCGGAGCUGGGGCGGCCGCAGGCUGAGCCAAGGUGGUAGAGCAUUGGAAGAGCAGGACCAGUAGGAGCAGAAAUGACAGUCUCUUCAUCAUGUUUUUUGCUUUGCUCUUGGUAAGAGGGGGAUUGUGAAGAGAGGACAGUGAAGAAGUGGUACUUGAAGAAGGCUUUUGGUUGUGUGAGGAAAGAGGAGGGAGAGAGUGGCAAUUUAUUUGAAAUCUGGGAAAGAGAGUGGUGCUCAUCAAAGUGGGAGAAAAUGAAAUUAGGUGAGAGGUUCCAAUUUUUAGUUAGGGGAAUUCAGUAGUUAGCACCUCAAUGAUAAGUGUUGUGCGAAAAGCAAAAACAUGGAUGGAAUAAAUGGAGAGAGAGAGAGAGAGAGAGAGAGCCGGGGGAUCAUUCACUGUUACAGCAACUAGUUUGCUUGAGAAAGCAGGAAAAAUAGUAGAGGGAGAUCAAAUGGACAUGGC